GCCCACUAGGGGGCACUUUGAGACUUUGGAUCAAAUGCAGGAGCGACAGCGUCUUCUUGAAAAAGUAGACUACGACUAUAGUUUGGAGUUGGUGCUUUGUACAUUUUGUUAAGUUCAACCUAAAUGGUUGGACCUCUGAGACAUUCUGCAACUUUUCCCGGACCAGUUCAAGAGAGGGGUCUCAAGAUGGGGAGAAGCUGCUCUCAUCCGUCACCAAGGCAGGGGACACUCCAGGGAAGCUGCAGCCUUCACUAAAAGCCAGUGUCAUGAUGUUCAGCUUUUUACAGACUGACGCAAGAUGACAGCUGAAGAGAGACAGGAAAAUUGGGGAGCAGAGAAUGGGAUGGAGAGGGGUUGGCUUGCAGACAACGAUUGGCCCCAACUGGUCCUGGUGCUGGUAGGACACAGGCCCUGCCUCCGAAAAGGCAUCAUUAGAAAGUGACAAAACUGCCAGGGGCAAAACUGGCCGUGCACAAUGAUCAAUCCGGCAGACAGGAUUGAAUUGUAGGGGGGAGAGUGAGCUUUAAAGAAGGGAAAUCAGAGGGAGUUGGUAUAGUACAAGACCCCCUACUGCUUUAAUUACUGAUGUGUGCGUCUCCCAAUUAACAGCGCACCUAUGGUCUACUGGCCACUCUGGGCCUGCACAAAGCUGGAAAGGAGAAAGACCAUUCUGCAGGGAGAGGGAGAGAGAAACGCAAUGAGACACACAAACCGGGGUGCUCAUUAGCGAAUGGUAAUCAGCGGUCGAGAGGUUGGGCACUCACCUCACAAAACGCCACAUGUCAAUUUGUCCCCCUCCAUUCAUGAGCCCUCUCUCAUUUUUAGCCCGCUCCCUCAUGUUCCCUUGUUGAGGAGAAUUGGAUGGAGCGCCAUGGGGGGAAACACUCGAAGGGAAACGUAAACACAGGCCUGGAGUGGGGACUCCUGCUUCGUCAACAAGGGGGGGGACCACACUCCUCAGCUGUGGCUCUUUGGCUUCUUCUCUUCUGUCCCUCUCCUCAAACAACUCGUUUGACCUCAGCUUCAACUUCAUACAGUUCAUGUCUACCACCUGAUUUCUAUUUCAUCUACUCUACGUCAUGUACAACUGGGGAACAAAAUCUUUGAGUGUGAUACCUGUUUAUUGAAUGUUUUUUUCAGUGUAUCUUAGUUUGAGAAGUGAAGCCACUACAGACUUAAACACUGAUUCUUCUGUUAGCCAGCAGGGAGAGACGCCACUGGUCGCAAAAACUGGUUUGAUUACGUGGAAGUCUAUGAGGCAAUAAGCCGUCUUCUCACUUAAAUCAUUACUCCAGGGAACAUUUCCUUUCUGUUUUAAAUACAGCAUCAUGGUAAUUCUGUAAACGAUGACCUGUUCGGCAGGAAGAUGGAUGAUAGAUGAUGCAGGGUAUGAUUUUGGAGGGGGCUAACUUGUGAAUGCAGCAACCUGCCAAUCAGCAAAGAGGUGUAGAAAUAUGUACCCGCUCUCUCAAUCUAAUACAGCUCCAGAAAAAACCAAGAGGAUGCUCCAAAUUCUUCAUGCAUGGAAGAAAUUCUAUUCUAUUCAGUGUAUAUUCAAUUCCCACACAGGUACACCUCAUUCAGAGUAAUGAGGUACUGAUUGGGGUAUCACCUGACAUGUCACCCAACAGCUAUGUGAGAGACUGGUGGAGAGCAUGCAAAGAGGUAUUCGGUUAUUCCACCAAAUGUUGACUUCUUAACUCUUCCUAGUUCCUAUGAGAAAUGUUGUAUACAAUGAAACAAACAAAAUGUACAAUUUUUCAAACAUUUGUAAAAAGAAAAAAUUAAACAGAAAGUUAUUCCACAGGAAAUGUAUCACUACACCUAGAUUUGAACUUGCUUCAAAAAAACAGCAACGUUUGGAAAAUUAAAUUACCGCAUAUAGUUGUUGUUUUUCUUGCCAUG
Long non-coding RNA from Notolabrus celidotus (New Zealand spotty), 1905 nucleotides. RefSeq lists it as uncharacterized. NCBI's taxonomy places the organism in Eukaryota, Metazoa, Chordata, Actinopteri, Labriformes, Labridae. The record is from RefSeq and is a predicted model, not a curated record. The transcript is spliced from 4 exons.